RNAcentral lists this ribosomal RNA (601 nucleotides) under Amolops yunkaiensis (Yunkai torrent frog). RNAcentral's name for it is "partial 16S ribosomal RNA". It matches the Rfam family "Bacterial large subunit ribosomal RNA", at positions 1007 to 2074 of the family's 2925-position model. Lineage: Eukaryota; Metazoa; Chordata; Amphibia; Anura; Ranidae. The record is from RNAcentral.
UUAUUUGAAACAGGCUACAACCUACAAUACUGGGUAAAUAUGGAUUUUAAAAAUAAAGUGGGCCUAAGAGCAGCCAUCUUAUAGAAAGCGUUAAAGCUCAACUAUUUUCUUUCCUGAAUCUCAAAAACUAUAUUGAACCCUUUAUCAAUACUGAACUAUUUUAUACUCUUAUAAAAGUCACUAUGCUAGAACUAGUAACAAGAAUUAGCCCUUCUCCAAAAUGCAUACUUAAGCCAAAAUGGACCCCCCAUUGGCAGUUACCGCAAAUGCACCUAUUAUAGUACCUCCCAACUAGACAACUCUAUAACCCUUAGCGUUAACCUGACACCAGAGCAUUACAGGAAAGAUUAAAAGAGAAAGAAGGAAUUCGGCAAAUCUCCGUCCCGCCUGUUUACCAAAAACAUCGCCUCUUGACCAAAUAUAAGAGGUCCAGCCUGCCCACUGACAUAGUUUAACGGCCGCGGUACCCUAACCGUGCGAAGGUAGCAUAAUCACUUGUUCUUUAAAUAAGGACUUGUAUCAACGGCAUCACGAGGACGAUACUGUCUCCUUUCUCCAGUCAGUGAAACUGAUCUCCCCGUGAAGAAGCGGGGAUUGACCU